AGGUUGCAGAGAAAAAUAAAACUGGGGGCGUUUUUGACACUAGUUCACUGCAGGGUGGGAUGAACAAACAGGUACCAAUGGAAGGCACACACCAAAGAAAGUCAGUCAAGGACGUUGGUACAUUUGGAUUCAAUGAAAUUUCAUGUCCAAAUUGACAGCUCCGGACAGCUGGACAGUUGUAACAUCACUGCCUAUCGAAUACCAACGUGUUUAUCAACAAUAACGUUUUGAUGUGUCUCUGCUGCAGUCGUUCAAGUAAGUCUGGUGCCGUCGUUGCUUCAUCGUUUUUUAGCAUUUAGUUGGUCCGAGCAAGUGGGGAAAAAGGCCUCACAAGUUACCUCCUGAACUGGCUUCUUAAUUUCCGUUCAGUCCACCAAGGAAGACAGAAUCUAUACUCUACCUUGCCAGUGCUAGAACAUGAGAUACGCCACUGCCUAAACGUUAUCUAUUUCAGGUAAAAUCACUUAAUGCAUUCUUUGGUAAUUUCUCUUAGGGCAAGUUACCAUUCGCGAAGUGCAGACGACGCGAGAUAUCCUUUUGGAUUGACUUGUAUUUGAUUACAAAUGUCUUGGCGAUUUCCUGACGAUUAACCAUACGUUAUUCCGAUUACAGUUAUCCGUCCAUCAUUACAAUUUCUAAUUUAAAUGACAUACAUCAGAGGAUUGGAAUGGAAGAGUCGGUUGAGAAAUAAUGCUAUAGCCUCUACUCUUAAUAAGCAUUGUGUUGCCUAGUAUUGUCUAUUCAUUCCACUACAAAAAUGGUGCCAUCGCAUAGCCAACGUCGUCAAUGUCAUGUAAUUUGUGGGCUUAAACGAUGCCGUGGUGUUAUCGCAGAUUGCAUGAUACAACGGGUGCUCUACGUUUGCAGGUUAACCUGUAUUUUUGACCCUGUCUAGAAGAAGGUGGGGUGAGAAGAAUCGCCGGCAGUGGAGACAGAAGUUGAUGGCUUGCCAACAAUAUGGUUUCAGUCCUUUACGACGGGGUGCAGUGUGGCGAAAUCAACUACCAUUGCUGAUUAAAAACACAUUCAGACCAUCUAACACGAUCUUCCGUUUGACAUGGGCAUCAGUUAUAAGGCAAGUAGCAUGAAAUAACAUCACCCACUACAGGAUUUGCAGUAUAUCAAUUUUUGUUAAUUAUAAUGAAAUUCUUCGGGUUGCAUCCGGC
Long non-coding RNA from Daphnia magna, 1166 nucleotides. RefSeq lists it as uncharacterized. The transcript has 4 exons. The record is from RefSeq and is a predicted model, not a curated record. NCBI's taxonomy places the organism in Eukaryota, Metazoa, Arthropoda, Branchiopoda, Diplostraca, Daphniidae.